RNAcentral lists this ribosomal RNA (490 nucleotides) under uncultured bacterium. RNAcentral describes it as "partial 16S ribosomal RNA". It matches the Rfam family "Bacterial small subunit ribosomal RNA", at positions 28 to 506 of the family's 1533-position model. The record is from RNAcentral.
GAUGAACGCUAGCUACAGGCUUAACACAUGCAAGUCGAGGGGAAACGAUGAGAGAGCUUGCUCUCUUAGUCGUCGACCGGCGCACGGGUGAGUAACGCGUAUCCAACCUGCCUCUGACCAAGGGAUAACCCGUCGAAAGUCGGACUAAUACCUUAUGCAGUCGUCGGAAGUCAUCUGAUGACGACGAAAGAUUUCAUCGGUGAGAGAUGGGGAUGCGUCUGAUUAGCUUGUUGGCGGGGUAACGGCCCACCAAGGCGACGAUCAGUAGGGGUUCUGAGAGGAAGGUCCCCCACAUUGGAUCUGAGACACGGUCCAAACUCCUACGGGAGGCAGCAGUGAGGAAUAUUGGUCAAUGGGCGUAAGCCUGAACCAGCCAAGUAGCGUGCAGGAUGACGGCCCUAUGGGUUGUAAACUGCUUUUAUGCGGGGAUAAAGUGAGGGACGUGUCCUUCAUUGCAGGUACCGCAUGAAUAAGGACCGGCUAAUUCCGU